GUUGUAUGGUUAAGCGACCAAGCGUAUACGGUGGAUGCCUUGGCAGUCAGAGGCGAUGAAGGACGUAGUAACUUGCGAAAAGCGUUGGUGAGCUAGUAACAAGCAUUUGAGCCAGCGAUGUCCGAAUGGGGAAACCCGGCAGCAUAAGCUGUCAUCAAUACGUGAAUACAUAGCGUAUUGAGGCGAACGAGGGGAACUGAAACAUCUAAGUACCCUUAGGAAAAGAAAUCAACCGAGAUUCCCCAAGUAGCGGCGAGCGAACGGGGAUUAGCCCUUAAGUCUUUGGGGUGUUAGUGGAAUGUGUUGGAAAGCACAGCGGCACAGGGUGAUAGCCCCGUACACGUAAACUAACCAGAGAUGAAAUCGAGUAAGGCGGCACACGUGAUAUGUUGUCUGAAUAUGGGGGGACCAUCCUCCAAGGCUAAAUACUCCUGACUGACCGAUAGUGAACCAGUACCGUGAGGGAAAGGCGAAAAGAACCCCUGUGAGGGGAGUGAAAUAGAACCUGAAACCGUAUACGUACAAGCAGUGGAAGCGGUCCUUGAGACCGUGACUGCGUACCUUUUGUAUAAUGGGUCAGCGACUUACAUUUAGUAGCGAGGUUAAGCGAAUAGCGGAGCCGUAGGGAAACCGAGUGUUAACUGCGCGUUUAGUUGCUAGGUGUAGACCCGAAACCCGGUGAUCUAGCCAUGGGCAGGUUGAAGGUUGAGUAACAUCAACUGGAGGACCGAACCGACUAAUGUUGAAAAAUUAGCGGAUGACUUGUGGCUGGGGUGAAAGGCCAAUCAAACCGGGAGAUAUCUGGUUCUCCUCGAAAGCUAUUUAGGUAGCGCCUCGGACGAACACCUUUGGGGGUAGAGCACUGUUAAGGCUAGGGGGUCAUCCCGACUUACCAACCCUUUGCAAACUCCGAAUACCAAAGAGUGCUAUCCGGGAGACAGACGGCGGGUGCUAACGUCCGUCGUCAAAAGGGAAACAACCCAGACCGUCAGCUAAGGUCCCAAAGUAAUUGCUAAGUGGGAAACGAUGUGGGAAGGCUUAGACAGCUAGGAUGUUGGCUUAGAAGCAGCCAUCAUUUAAAGAAAGCGUAAUAGCUCACUAGUCGAGUCGGCCUGCGCGGAAGAUGUAACGGGGCUAAGCAAUUCACCGAAGCUACGGGUACUGAUGCUUGCAUCAGUGCGGUAGAGGAGCGUUCUGUAAGCCGUUGAAGGCGAAGGGGUAACCCACGCUGGAGGUAUCAGAAGUGCGAAUGCUGACAUGAGUAACGAUAAAGGGGGUGAAAAACCCCCUCGCCGAAAGACCAAGGGUUCCUGUCCAACGUUAAUCGGGGCAGGGUGAGUCGACCCCUAAGGCGAGGCUGAAAGGCGUAGUCGAUGGGAAACGGGUUAAUAUUCCCGUACUUCUGCUAACUGCGAUGGAGAGACGGAGAAGGCUAGGCCGGCGCGGCGUUGGUAGUCCGCGUUUAAGGUAGUAGGUGGUGUGCUUAGGCAAAUCCGGGCACACAUACACUGAGAGCUGACGACGAGUCCCCAAGGGGAUGAAGUGGUUGAUGCCAUGCUUCCAGGAAAAUCUUCUAAGCUUCAGGUUAGUAGAAAUCGUACCCCAAACCGACACAGGUGGUCGGGUAGAGAAUACCAAGGCGCUUGAGAGAACUCGGCUGAAGGAACUAGGCAAAAUGGUACCGUAACUUCGGGAGAAGGUACGCUCCUGUUGGUGACGAGACUUGCUCUCUGAGCUGACGGGAGUCGCAGAUACCAGGUGGCUGCAACUGUUUAUCAAAAACACAGCACUGUGCAAAAUCGCAAGAUGACGUAUACGGUGUGACGCCUGCCCGGUGCCGGAAGGUUAAUUGAUUGGGUUAUCUUCGGAGAAGCUCAUGAUCGAAGCCCCGGUAAACGGCGGCCGUAACUAUAACGGUCCUAAGGUAGCGAAAUUCCUUGUCGGGUAAGUUCCGACCUGCACGAAUGGCGUAAUGAUGGCCACGCUGUCUCCAGCCGAGACUCAGUGAAGUUGAAAUUGCGGUGAAGAUGCCGUAUACCCGCGGCUAGACGGAAAGACCCCGUGAACCUUUACUAUAGCUUGGCACUGAACAUUGACCCUACAUGUGUAGGAUAGGUGGGAGACUAUGAAGAUGAGACGCCAGUCUUGUUGGAGUCAACCUUGAAAUACCACCCUUGUAGUGUUGAUGUUCUAACCUGGGCCCCUAAUCGGGGUUAGGGACAGUGCCUGGUGGGUAGUUUGACUGGGGCGGUCUCCUCCCAAAGAGUAACGGAGGAGCACGAAGGUUGGCUAAGUACGGUCGGACAUCGUACGGUUAGUGUAAUGGCAUAAGCCAGCUUAACUGCGAGACAGACACGUCGAGCAGGUGCGAAAGCAGGUCAUAGUGAUCCGGUGGUUCUGAAUGGAAGGGCCAUCGCUCAACGGAUAAAAGGUACUCCGGGGAUAACAGGCUGAUACCGCCCAAGAGUUCAUAUCGACGGCGGUGUUUGGCACCUCGAUGUCGGCUCAUCACAUCCUGGGGCUGAAGUCGGUCCCAAGGGUAUGGCUGUUCGCCAUUUAAAGUGGUACGCGAGCUGGGUUCAGAACGUCGUGAGACAGUUCGGUCCCUAUCUGCCGUGGGCGUUGGAUGAUUGAGGGGAGCUGCUCCUAGUACGAGAGGACCGGAGUGGACGAACCGCUGGUGUUCGGGUUGUCAUGCCAAUGGCAUUGCCCGGUAGCUACGUUCGGAAUCGAUAACCGCUGAAAGCAUCUAAGCGGGAAGCGAGCCCCAAGAUGAGUCAUCCCUAGGGCCUAGAGCCCUCUGAAGAGCCGUUCGAGACCAGGACGUUGAUAGGCAGGGUGUGUAAGCGUUGCGAGGCGUUGAGCUAACCUGUACUAAUGACUCGAGAGGCUUAACCAUACAACCCAGAUGGGUUUU
This 2917-nucleotide ribosomal RNA is filed under the name Shewanella algae. RNAcentral's name for it is "bacterial LSU rRNA". It matches the Rfam family "Bacterial large subunit ribosomal RNA". Lineage: Bacteria; Pseudomonadati; Pseudomonadota; Gammaproteobacteria; Alteromonadales; Shewanellaceae. The record is from RNAcentral.